UAGCAUAUCAAUAAGCGGAGGAAAAGAAACCAACAGGGAUUGCCCCAGUAACGGCGAGUGAAGCGGCAACAGCUCAAAUUUGAAAUCUGGCCCCAGGCCCGAGUUGUAAUUUGCAGAGGAUGCUUUUGGCGAGGCGCCUUCCGAGUUCCCUGGAACGGGACGCCAUAGAGGGUGAGAGCCCCGUAAGGUCGGACGCCGAGCCUCUGUAAAGCUCCUUCGACGAGUCGAGUAGUUUGGGAAUGCUGCUCAAAAUGGGAGGUAAAUUUCUUCUAAAGCUAAAUACAGGCCAAAGACCGAUAGCGCACAAGUAGAGUGAUCGAAAGAUGAAAAGCACUUUGAAAAGAGGGUUAAACAGCACGUGAAAUUGUUGAAAGGGAAGCGCUCGUGACCAGACUUGCGCCCGGCGGAUCAGCCAGCGUUCUCGCUGGUGCCUCCGCCGGGUCCAGGCCAGCAUCGGUUUCCGCGGGGGGAUAAAGGCCAUGGGAACGUGACUCCCCCGGGAGUGUUAUAGCCCUAGGCAGAAUACCGCCGCGGGGACCGAGGACCGCGCUUCGGCAAGGAUGCUGGCGUAAUGGUCACCAGCGACCCGUCUUGAAACACGGACCAAGGAGUCAAGCAUUAGGGCGAGUGUCUGGGUGUAAAACCCGCACGCGUAAUGAAAGUAAACGCUGGUGAGAGCUUCGGCGCAUCAUCGACCGAUCCUGAUGUUCUCGGACGGAUUUGAGUAAGAGCCUUACCGCUUGGACCCGAAAGUUGAUGAACUAUGCCUGUAUAGGGUGAAGCCAGAGGAAACUCUGGUGGAGGCUCGCAGCGGUUCUGACGUGCAAAUCGAUCGUCAAAUAUGGGCAUGGGGGGCGAAAGACUAAUCGAAUCAACUAGUAGCUGGUUGCCGCGAU
Molecule: ribosomal RNA, 896 nt
Filed under: Rhamphoria buxi
Lineage: Eukaryota; Fungi; Ascomycota; Sordariomycetes; Rhamphoriaceae
Description: LSU rRNA
Rfam family: Eukaryotic large subunit ribosomal RNA
Source: RNAcentral